RNAcentral lists this ribosomal RNA (239 nucleotides) under uncultured bacterium. Its description in RNAcentral is "partial 16S ribosomal RNA". It matches the Rfam family "Bacterial small subunit ribosomal RNA", at positions 99 to 334 of the family's 1533-position model. The record is from RNAcentral.
CGGACGGGUGAGGAACACGUGGGUGACCUACCUUUCAGUGAGGAAUACCGGCGAGAAAUCGCCGACAAUACCGCAUAGGCUUCUCUUCCACAACCGGAGAAGCAAAGCUCUUUUCGGAGGGCGCUGGGAGAUGGGCCCGCGGCCGAUUAGUUAGUUGGUGGGGUAAAAGCCUACCAAGGCCACGAUCGGUAGCUGGUCUGAGAGGACGAUCAGCCACACUGGGAUUGAGAACGGCCCAG